RNAcentral lists this ribosomal RNA (492 nucleotides) under uncultured bacterium. RNAcentral's name for it is "partial 16S ribosomal RNA". It matches the Rfam family "Bacterial small subunit ribosomal RNA", at positions 29 to 507 of the family's 1533-position model. The record is from RNAcentral.
AGUGAACGCUGGCGGUAGGCCUAACACGUGCAAGUCGAACGGCAGCACAGUAAGAGCUUGCUCUUACGGGUGGCGAGUGGCGGACGGGUGAGGAAUACAUCGGAAUCUACUUUUUCGUGGGGGAUAACGUAGGGAAACUUACGCUAAUACCGCAUACGACCUACGGGUGAAAGCAGGGGAUCUUCGGACCUUGCGCGAUUGAAUGAGCCGAUGUCGGAUUAGCUAGUUGGCGGGGUAAAGGCCCACCAAGGCGACGAUCCGUAGCUGGUCUGAGAGGAUGAUCAGCCACACUGGAACUGAGACACGGUCCAGACUCCUACGGGAGGCAGCAGUGGGGAAUAUUGGACAAUGGGCGCAAGCCUGAUCCAGCCAUACCGCGUGGGUGAAGAAGGCCUUCGGGUUGUAAAGCCCUUUUGUUGGGAAAGAAAAGCAGCAGGCUAAUACCCCGCUGUUCUGACGGUACCCAAAGAAUAAGCACCGGCUAACUUCGUG